RNAcentral lists this ribosomal RNA (253 nucleotides) under uncultured bacterium. RNAcentral's name for it is "partial 16S ribosomal RNA". It matches the Rfam family "Bacterial small subunit ribosomal RNA", at positions 524 to 776 of the family's 1533-position model. The record is from RNAcentral.
UACGAGGGGAGCAAGCGUUGUUCGGAUUUACUGGGCGUAAAGGGCGCGUAGGCGGUCGUUCAAGUCGAGUGUGAAAGCCCCCGGCUCAACUGGGGAGGGUCACUCGAUACUGAUCGACUCAAAGGCAGAAGAGGGAAGCGGAAUUCCCGGUGUAGUGGUGAAAUGCGUAGAUAUCGGGAGGAACACCAGUGGCGAAGGCGGCUUUCUGGUCUGCUCUUGACGCUGAGGCGCGAAAGCUAGGGUAGCAAACGGG